Molecule: transfer RNA, 72 nt
Filed under: Puccinia triticina
Lineage: Eukaryota; Fungi; Basidiomycota; Pucciniomycetes; Pucciniales; Pucciniaceae
Also listed under: 1 other name
Description: tRNA-Ser
Rfam family: tRNA
About the family: Transfer RNA (tRNA) molecules are approximately 80 nucleotides in length. Their secondary structure includes four short double-helical elements and three loops (D, anti-codon, and T loops).
Source: RNAcentral
GUGUACUUGGCUCAAUGGUUAGAGCAUCACUCAUGAAUGCUGAGUAUGUGAGUUUGACUCUCACAGUACACG